GCCGGGAGUCUGGAGUGGUGCAGCCCCAGGGGGAUUUGGUGCUAGUUUGUACACGUUUAACCAAUGGAAACACAGUACCUUUAUCUAUUUGUACAAGAUGACAGUCAAAUCUCCACAAAGGAGCAGCUCCAAGGGGUGCCAGGGUUCCUCAAAUACACCCUUUAAGGUAUAUUCCUCCAAAACUAUACAGGGAGCAAAUUACUGUAAACUGUGGUCUUUUAAAAUUGCAGAAUAUCCUGCUUACCAGGGUAGAGCACGUUGCUGGAGCAGUAUGGUAAGUUAACUCUGUGAAUGAACAGCAAGUUAUAUUUCCUCUGGCAAAGGAGACGGGGAAAACAGAUGUUAAGGAAAAUACUCUGGCAGUGUUCUCAUGUUGAG
Molecule: long non-coding RNA, 378 nt
Filed under: Cairina moschata (Muscovy duck)
Lineage: Eukaryota; Metazoa; Chordata; Aves; Anseriformes; Anatidae
Description: domestica (muscovy Duck (domestic type)) lncRNA (ENSCMMG00000001601.1)
Source: RNAcentral